This 393-nucleotide ribosomal RNA is filed under the name uncultured bacterium. RNAcentral's name for it is "partial 16S ribosomal RNA". It matches the Rfam family "Bacterial small subunit ribosomal RNA", at positions 523 to 918 of the family's 1533-position model. The record is from RNAcentral.
AUACGGAGGAUCCGAGCGUUAUCCGGAUUUAUUGGGUUUAAAGGGAGCGUAGGCGGACGCUUAAGUCAGUUGUGAAAGUUUGCGGCUCAACCGUAAAAUUGCAGUUGAUACUGGCUGUCUUGAGUACAGUAGAGGUGGGGGGAAUUCGUGGGGUAGCGGUGAAAUGCUUAGAUAUCACGAAGAACUCCGAUUGCGAAGGCAGCUCACUGGACUGCAACUGACACUGAUGCUCGAAAGUGUGGGUAUCAAACAGGAUUGGAUACCCUGGUAGUCCACACAGUAAACGAUGAAUACUCGCUGUUUGCGAUAUACAGUAAGCGGCCAAGCGAAAGCAUUAAGUAUUCCACCUGGGGAGUACGCCGGCAACGGUGAAACUCAAAUGAAUUGGCGGGG